GGAGCUAAUCUAGUGAGAGUGGAGGAAGAAUAUGUUAAUGCUAGCAGUGACAUGAGAAUGACAAUACAUGUUUGUGAUGUUUUCGGGGCAGAAGAGAGUGGUGAGUAGGGGAGAGAGUUAUUGGAGGAAGAAGAUUCUUGAUGAGUAAUUGAGACGUGCAUAGAUCGAGGGGGUUGUUGGGGGUAUCUUUUGUUCGUUUAGAAGAUAGAGCUAUUGAACUUUUUAGAGAAAUUGAAAAGAGAAGACAGGAGAAAGAGAGGGAGGGGAGACUGAAGACAAGGGCGAAAGGAAGACAUGUAGCUGAAGGAUCAAGGAAGUUAAAGAGACUAAUAUCCAUUGUUAAUUAUGAUGUCCCAAAAAAGGGGGAUAGGAAGGGUGAGAGGAGUCAACAUGCACAUUGAGGAAUGAUUGGUCAGAUUAUUUCAUGAAUGAUUGGUCAGAUUAUUUCAUGAAAUGUACGAGGUAUCAAUGACCACAAGAAGAGGAUGGUUAUCAAAUGAUGUUUGAGCAUAUGGAAUCCUGAUGUGAUUUGUUUGCAUGAAACCAAGAUGGAGAGCAUAACCGUUGGAGUUGUUAGCAGUCUAUGGAAGAUCAAGGUAGCGGAUUGGAGAGAACUUCUAGAGUGUAGUAGGAUGGGAGGCAUCAUUAUUUUAUGUAAGGAAGGGUGGUUAGACUGUGAGGAUACUUUGGCAAGUGUUUGUAUUGAGAAACUUGAACAAUUUGGAGAUUGAAAAAUAUGAGAGACUGUUGAAUACCUUUUCUAGUGUGAACUUGGAUGGAAGCAUUGAUACUCCCAAAUGGUGCUUUGCGAAUAAUAGGUUUUUCACAGUCAAGUCUUUCUACAAGCAUCUAUUUAGAUAUGAAGAUAAAG
Molecule: long non-coding RNA, 871 nt
Filed under: Carica papaya (papaya)
Lineage: Eukaryota; Viridiplantae; Streptophyta; Magnoliopsida; Brassicales; Caricaceae
Description: long non-coding RNA (CPAP_LNC015181)
Source: RNAcentral